CUUCUGCUCCUGACCACACGUGGACCUCUCCAGGGUGACCUCCCCGGUCUAAGCCAGCUUCGGUCUCACCGGGAUUACGGCUGCCAUCCCAUCCUCACUGUGUACUUCCACUUGUGCUCCCUCAAGAGAAAGUAUAAAUCAGCUCUCAUCUCCCCACUGAUUCAAGUCCUCCGAAGACUGCCCAGCUGCAGUUACAGCAAAUCCCAAACAUUUUGCCUCGGUCUUCAGGCUCAUCCCCACAAGUGCCGAUCGACCUGUGGAUGACAAUGAAAAUAAAACAAAGUCCUUGGAUCCAAUACCUGAUACUCCUCCUGACUACACUGCCAUUUAAGUUCAGCAGAUCCAAAACCUGAUGACCCUCCAGAGCAUAAUCCCCAUUAUAUAUCUGGUAAGUUAAAUCUUCAGAAUCUUUUCACCACUGCAGAAAAGACACUAAGGGUUAAGCUGCUUGUUUAACU
Molecule: long non-coding RNA, 458 nt
Filed under: Mustela putorius furo (domestic ferret)
Lineage: Eukaryota; Metazoa; Chordata; Mammalia; Carnivora; Mustelidae
Description: lncRNA (ENSMPUG00000029562.1)
Source: RNAcentral